AAUGAACGCUGGCGGCGUGCCUAAUACAUGCAAGUCGAGCGAACGGACGAGAAGCUUGCUUUUCUGAUGUUAGCGGCGGACGGGUGAGUAACACGUGGAUAACCUCCCUAUAAGACUGGGAUAACUUCGGGAAACCGGAGCUAAUACCGGAUAAUAUUUUGAACCGCAUGGUUCAAAAGUGAAAGAAGGUCUUGCUGUCACUUAUAGAUGGAUCCGCGCUGCAUUAGCUAGUUGGUAAGGUAACGGCUUACCAAGGCAACGAUGCAUAGCCGACCUGAGAGGGUGAUCGACCACACUGGAACUGAGACACGGUCCAGACUCCUACGGGAGGCAGCAGUAGGGAAUCUUCCGCAAUGGGCGAAGGCCUGACGGAGCAACGCCGCGUGAGUGAUGAAGGUCUUCGGAUCGUAAAACUCUGUUAUUAGGGAAGAACAUAUGUGUAAGUAACUGUGCACAGCUUGACGGUACCUAAUCAGAAAGCCACGGCUAACUACGUG
This 497-nucleotide ribosomal RNA is filed under the name uncultured bacterium. RNAcentral describes it as "partial 16S ribosomal RNA". It matches the Rfam family "Bacterial small subunit ribosomal RNA", at positions 29 to 507 of the family's 1533-position model. The record is from RNAcentral.